Molecule: ribosomal RNA, 561 nt
Filed under: Triticum aestivum (bread wheat)
Lineage: Eukaryota; Viridiplantae; Streptophyta; Magnoliopsida; Poales; Poaceae
Description: partial small subunit ribosomal RNA
Source: RNAcentral
AUGGGACGCCUGGACGACACUGUUGACCACAGCAGUUACCCCGGAGACUCAAGAUCGCCUAAUGCGGAGGUCACAAAGUUGCGGGAUCAGAUAACUCAGGCCCAGGAGGACUUGUCGGCUGAGGAAACCAGGAUGGCUGAUGAGCGGUCCGCUUUAGAUGCCCAGUCACAGCGGAUUCAAGCAGAAAAUUACCGGCUCCUGCUAGAUCAGAACACUUUGAAUGAGGUCUUGAGGAGGAGGCACCGGUCCCGUCUACCGCCGGUUUACAAAGCAAUGAAUCUCUUCAACACACCAGGAGCUGGACCCAGUAAUCCGGUAGCAGUAAACCGGAUUGAGGCACCUGGGACAGGAGCGUCGGAUCAGCCACCGGUGACGGACCCGCUUCGACGAACAGAUAGCCCGUCGCAAUACAUGCCGACCCCACCGGGUCACUUCUCCACCCCUUUGGAUAAUAUGAUUGUUGCGACGUCCCGAUUGGCAGCUAUUCCAAUGGAGGGUGAGUCUCCAGCGACGGUCGAAACGUGGCGGGCCAGGUAUCUCCUUCAAACCGCCAUGGUAUAG